Molecule: long non-coding RNA, 728 nt
Organism: Vespula vulgaris
Lineage: Eukaryota; Metazoa; Arthropoda; Insecta; Hymenoptera; Vespidae
Exons: 3
Source: RefSeq, a predicted model, not a curated record
AGAGAGAGAGAGAGAGAGAGAGAGAGAUCGCCUUACGAAAUAACGCAAAUUCGCAAGGCAAGCUGUAAAACGAUCCCACCAGGGAGCAAAGUACCAGUCUGAUAAGAGAAUGCAGGAACGAAAAGACCCCUAGUAAAGGACAUUGCGCCUGUAAGGAGAUCUCUUCGUGACCACGAGAACAAGUUUGUAGUGAGUUCGUGUAUGCAGGUAUAUAUAUAUCUAUCUACCCGGGAGCAAUCGUCGGUAGAAGGAUCCGCUACUUCUCGCGAAUUUACAUUCUUUUUUAAGACUCGACGGAGCAUGAAAUAUGCAAGGGUGGCAAGGCAUAUCGCAGGAAAGAAAACAAAGGUUCGCAAAUAAUUAGAUAAAAUUAAAUUUGAAGUUGCAUGGGAAUGAGAUAAAAAUAUUUUCUCUAUGGCAACAAAGAGUAAACUAUUUUAAACUCAAUAAAUUAUCUCCGACAACGUAACAACGUUUCUGCACAAUUUUAAAAUCAUUCUCUUCUUGAGAUACCCACGCUCGCUUGCGAAUGGAGGAGAAACAUAGUCGGGAAUAUCUAUUUGCUUGUAUCAUGAAUGAUGUUACGUCGGGGCAAACACGGUUGGCAAAAUUUUAUUGUCGAGACGCGAGCAAUUUUCUCUUUGUUGAAUGUUCGUUUGAUAUAGAAUCGACGAGUACAUCGAGAAUCGUACACGUGCACGAUUAAGUGACCUCUUCUCACGGAUAUG